RNAcentral lists this long non-coding RNA (30006 nucleotides) under Malus domestica (apple). Its description in RNAcentral is "long non-coding RNA (MDOM_LNC010038)". The record is from RNAcentral. Lineage: Eukaryota; Viridiplantae; Streptophyta; Magnoliopsida; Rosales; Rosaceae.
AGGAUGUGAAAGUUGGCAAAAGUUGUAAGCGGAUUCAAGAUUGGUACUCAUUAUGAAUGAGUAAUCUUCGGCUGUGUACUCUACCGUUGCUUUCGCUUCGACAAUCCCCACAUUGUUUAUCUAUAACAAGACAUUAUUGAAAAGGUUUAGCAUAGCAUAACGAUUUUAGUUUAUAUGUAUUAUUGAAAAAUACAUGAAAAUUAUGUGUAUUAAACGUAAAAAAGUACAUCUUUGAGUUUUAAAAAACGUACAAUUUUACAAAUUAUUGAAAUUUGAAAUGUGUACAACAAACAUAAUUAUUUAUGAGAGGAUGUUUAGUUUGUCUUGAAAGUGUGAUGAUGGUUAUUCAUGAUUCAUGCACAUAUGUUGUUUCAACUGAUCAGUCUUCUACUUACAAGGAUGUUGAGUUUGCCAUCAAAAAGUGAUGAGACCUUGUUUAUAAGCUCCUCUCUUUGGGUUUUUGACACCACAUCACAGACUGAGCCAGUGACUUGAAAACCCUUCUUCUCCCACUGACUCAGGCAGUCAUUAAGGUCAACUUCAUUUCGGGAACAAGUAUGCACAAUUGCACCCAGCCCUGCCAAUUCCUCCACUAUCGCAUACCUAAAUAAAACUUUACUAAUUUAACAUAGAGCAAUACAAAAUAAUUCAAACCCAUAAUUCUAAAACAGAAGAAAACACGGGACAAGUGGAGAAAUAAAGAGAAUAUUGCAUUGGAUGUAUAGGAAAAUUAAAACUAACAGAAGAUUAAUGUUCUUAAGUAUCCAAAUUUAGAGAAGCUAACCCAAUUCCUUUGGUUCCACCGGUGACAAGAGCUGUCAUUCCACGUAGAGACCAUGUCCUCUCUCUGCUAUUCAUCUCUAUCUGCUCUCUAAUCUUCCUGUCUGCUCUCUAAUCUAUCUUUAUGCAAAUACUUUGUGGUUUCGGUUAUAUUUCUUUUCGAUAGGAUAACUAUUGUAUAUUUUGGCGGCCAGGGAAAGGUACGCGUGCCAUCUGUUCAUUCAGCAACUUGCAACAUUUUGGUUGCUUGUUUUGACGUGGCAAACUAAUGCAAAUUGAUUGUCCAAUUUGAAUUUGACUAAAUUAUAUUUCAUCCAAUUUCAACAUCUUACAAUGACUGUCUAUUUCAUACAACUUUCGAUUCAAUCGUUACACAGUGAUUCAAUAAUUCAGGACGAAUUCUAAUCUCAUAUUCUAUAAAGCUCGUUUUGAAUUUGAUUCGUGACACCGAUGAAUUAUACACUAUAAAGAAUUGAAGUUUAAAGAACACUAUUUCAACAAACUUUUGGAACUAGAAAGCAAAGAUACUUUUGGAGCUAGAAACAAAUGGAAGGUAUUACGGUUCGUCCUGAACGAGAUCGAUGUCUUUUCGGUUAAUUUUUCAGCAAAUAGACAUGUCAUUGAGAGUAUUGUUUAAACCCAUAAACAUUUUGAACUAUUUUUACUUAACAUCAUCAUAUUUAAAAGGGCUUUAGUUAUUUCACUAGCACUUUCAAUUGGAAACCGCCCCCUGUAACAAGCUAGACAUAUGAAGUUAUGAGAAUACUUAAAGAGCAAGUCGUCCAAAUCAUCUUUAGGUAAUCUUUGGAGGGGUCAGUUGAUGUUGCUUAAAGAGUUUUUGUAACAUUUCUCGUCUAAGUUCACCUCAGUACUUAAGUUUAAUUAUUUUUUAAUCUUUAAUUGUACGAAAAGAAAAAAAAGGGACAUAUAACAUGAAUGUAGGGUCAUCAUAUCAACUAAAAAAGCUUCAUUGGAGUAUUUCGUCGAGCACCUAGUAGGCACCUACCAAUUCCUGCCAACAUAUACCGAAAGCUUAUGCUAACGUAUGUCGACAACUAUUAUUAUUGUAGAGGCUUGUCAAUGGUGGAUGCAAGAUGCCGUGGAGUAAUGUUGAAGAUUGUUAAGACUUGUCAACUAAGGUAUUUCAUUGAGCACAUGGUGGUCACAAUAGAAUCACACAAGAGGAGAGAAAGAAGACAAAUGUGAUAGAAUAAAGUAGAAGAAGUAGGAGGAGGAGGUUGUAAAUUUCGUUUGCCUUAGUUGUUUAUAGGGGUCAAAUAUAAUACGCAAACAAAUAUACAUGAAGGUUUUUAACUUGUUGGGUCAAGAGCAACCAAUGAUCUUAUGCUGACUUUGUCACUGAUAAUAAGAUCCCUGUCUUAAUUUUUUGCUAAGAACAUAAAAAAUCUUGUAUCGUUGAGUAUUGAUAGGAACAUGUCAUCAGCCUUGUUGUAUCUUUGAGGGGCCAAGGAAAAAGAUGAUGUGCAAUGCUUCUUGAGGAGUUUUGUUGUUUCUCAAUAAAAUCUAGUCAUUUGAAUUUCUUGCUUCUAGUACUACCUAAUGCUUGAAGUUUGAACAUGUUAUAGAAGCAUUUUUUAUUGUUUUGAUCAUACAUACAUGUCGAUCAUUUUCAAUGAACUGGCGAUUUCGGUGGUGCUCUUUGAGAUGUUGGAGUCUUCUCUUCAUCAGGUUUGGCGUGAUCUCAGGCGUUUGUUGGUGGCGUUCUAGCGGCGGCGAAGGGUAGCAAGUUGCUAGGGUUUGUUGCGGUUUUUUUCUUUUGGGUGGUCUCAAACUUUUGUUUUGGGCCAUUUUUGCUUUACUCUGGAGGCCUACAUCUAUGUUGUGUGCUUAUUGUGAUUGAGCUUCUUUCUUUGUAAUUAUGUUGUCUUGAUAAUAAUUUUAUCCUUUAAAUAAACAACAAAAAAAAAUUUUCCAAACUUGGAAGCUCUUCUACUAGAGUGAAACGAAAUGUCAAUAGACCGAAUGGUUGGCAAUCUUUUAUUUACAUAUUAAAUUAUAAAUUAAUGUCACCUAUUUUCACAUACAAUUAAAGCACACCACUUUAGAAUUAGAUACGAGAUUUUAUUUUUCCAGACCUGCAGCACUGUCUCUACGACUGCAUAUGCAAUUAUGUAUCCAUGCAGAACUGUUUCCAAGUCAUGCUCCUUGGAAGAGCAAGCCAUUGACGGUCACCCCGCCGUCGACGAUAAUAGUCUGCCCAGUAAUGUAAGAGGCUGCAGGUAGACAUAGAAAUGCUACCAAGGAAGACACCUCCUCUGGCUCUCCAGGACGUCCUAAAGGGCACCGAGAGUUUAUCAUCUCCAAUUUCUUUUCAUUUCGGAGAAACUGCAUGCAAAGAAGAGAUAAUAGAUGAAAAGAGAAUGGAUGUGUAGGACACAUGUAUUAGCGACGAUCUUAAUAAUUGGUCAAGUUAUUCGUAAACAAAUUAAUUAAGAUUAGAAGUAUGAUCUAAACUUGCUGUAAACAAGUCAGGUCUAAGAACCUAUACAUGAAUAAACAAGACAUAUGGACUUUUGGCAAAACCCAACUUUUUAUUCUAAUUUCAAUUAUGGGCUUUUGGCAGAAUCAUCAACGAAAUACGAAUUGGCUUGAAAUUAUGAGAUGAUUGUAAAUAUAAGAUGUUAAAAGAAUUCACUCAUGUAUCUUAUAUGUAGUUUUGAUUUUCCUGCCGCAACAUCGAUUGUAUUUAAAAAUAAAUAAAAAUAAAAUGCAUGCACAAGAACGUGAUCCGAAUAAUCUUACAGGUUCAGCGAGGGGAGUCGUGAUGAACCAAGGUGCCACACUGUUGGUCCUUAUGUUAUCCUUCGCCCACUCACAUGCUAAGUUUUUUGCUAACUGAUUCAUUGCACCUGAGAUACAGUAAAGAAAAGCCACACUUUGGUCUAACAUUAAAAAUCACACACCAAAAACAGCGUAAUCAAAUUUUAGGUUAGUCUAAAAGUGAUAUAAACAAUAUAUGAUACUUUUAAAUUUUUUAAUCUGAUGUAAGGUGUUAGUCUAAAAGUGAUAUAUUUUUUUCAAAGAAUUGAAUGAAUUUUUAACUAAUUAUAAACAAUAUAUGAUACUUUUCAAUUUUUAAUAAAAGUCGGAAAUCUAUAUAAGGAUUAACUAUAAGCACCUUUAGUGGCAGAAUAUAUAGAUUCACCAUCUAUUGAGACCACACCAGCAGUAGAGGACAAAAAAACAAUGCUAGCAGCUCCUGCAGCUUUGAGAAGAGGAUGUGAAAGCUGGCAAAAGUUGUAAGCAGAUUCAAGAUUGGUACUCAUUAUGAAUGAGUAAUCUUCAGCUGUGUACUCUAGCGUUGCUUUCGUCAAGCUAGUCCCCACAUUGUUUAUCUAUAACAAGACAUUAUUGUAAAGGUUUAGCAUAACAUAACGAUUUUAGCUUAUAUGUAUUAUUGAAAAAUGCAUGAAAAUUAUGUGUAUUAAACGUAAAAAGUACAUAUAUACGUGUACACAUUUUUGAGUUUUAAAAAACUUACAAUCUUACAAAUUAUUGAAUUUUGAAAUGUGUACAACAGAGUUAUUUACGAGAGGAUGUUUAGUUUGUCUUGAAAGUGUGAUGAUGAUUCAUGAUUCAUCCACAUAUCUUAUUUCGUCCUGGUUUGGUACUGAGGUGAUUCUGAAAAAAGUAGAUAUCAAAAAAAGUUCCCAGCUUUUUUAUGUUUGGUAAACAUUCAGCUUCAACUUUUUUUCACAGUUUUGGGUGAAAAAAAACCAAAAACACAAAGCUGCAAAACCUAGCUUUGAAAAACCAGUUUUUUUUUCACAUCUGUUUUACAUAAAAGUUUAUCAAACACUAUAAUAUUGUUUUUUUUUUUAAAAGUACUUUUACAAAAAAGUUUACCAAACACUCUACUGCUUUAUUUUACAGUUGCUUAUUCUCACAGCAUAGCAGAAACAAUUUUUUUCAAAACACAACAAUACCAAACCAGCCCUUCAACUGAUCAAUCUUUACUUACAAGGAUGUUGAGUUUGCCAUCAAAAAGUGAUGAGACCUUGUUUAUAAGCUCCUCUCUUUGGGUUUUUGACACCACAUCACAGACUGAGCCUGUGACUUGAAAACCCUUCUUCUCCCACUGACUCUGGCAGUCAUUAAGGUCAACUUCUUUCGGGAACAAGUAUGCACAAUUGCACCCAGCCCUGCCAAUUCCUCCACUAUCGCAUACCUAAAUAAAACUUUACUAAUUUAACAUAGAGCAAUACAAAAUAAUUCAAACCCAUAAUUCUAAAACAGAAGAAAACAUGGGACAAGUGGAGAAAUAAAGAGAAUAUUGCAUUGGAUGUAUAGGAAAAUUGAAACUAAAAGAAGAUUAAUGUUCUUAAGUAUCCAAAUAUAGAAGCUAACCCAAUUCCUUUGGUUCCACCGGUGACAAGAGCUGUCAUUCCACGAAGAGACCAUCUCCUCUCUCUGCUAUUCAUCUCUAUCUGCUCUCUAAUCUAUCUUUAUGCAAAUACUUUGUGGUUUUUAUUAUAUUUCUUUUCGAUAGGAUAACUAUUGUAUAUUUUGGCGGCCAGGGAAAAGUACGCGUGCCAUCUAUUCAUUCAGCAACUUGCAACAUUUUGUUUGCUUGUUUUGGCGUGGCAAACUAUGCAAAUUGAUUGUCCAAUUUGAAUUUGACUAAAUUAUAUUUCAUCCAAUUUCAACAUCGUUCAAUGACUUUCUAUUUCAUACAACUUUCGAUUCAAUCGUUCAAUAGUUCAGUACGAAUUCUAAACUCGUAUUCUAUAAAGCUCGUUUUGAAAACUUGAUUCGUGACACUAAUGAAUUAUACACUAUAAAGAAUCAAAGUUUAAAGAACACUAUUUCAACAAACUUUUGGAACUAGAAAGCAAAGAUACUUUUGGAGCUAGAAAACAAAAGGAAGGUAUUACGGUUCGUCCUGAACGAGAUCGAUGUCUUUUUGGUUAAUUUUUCAGCAAAUAGACAUAUCAUUGAGAGUAUUGUUUAUAGGCAUACAAUUCUUCUUGCUCCACAUUUUUUAAGGUUAAAUUACAUUUUACCCCAUCAAGUAUGGUAUAAAUUACAACCUUAUACAACAUCUUUAAAACAUUUCAAUUUCAUACAUUUAAUUAUAUUUUAUUUUCAGUUUUAUACAUCCGUUAAAAUAUCUGUUAAGUCAACCGUUACAUGAUAAUGUGGUAAAUGAUGACAUGAUUCUCAACUUUGCACCAUGUGAAUAAGAAAAUAAUAAAAAAGGAUUAUUUAAUAAAAAAUCAAUUUAUAUUAUAAUUAAAAACAAACAAAAAUUGAAAAGGGCAUCUGGGCAAUCACCCUCUUCCUCCUCCAGCACCACCACCAACGCACCUACGAAACCCUAGCCGUAAAGAGAAACGCGCACAGCUUCCAUCUCUCUAUCGGCAUAGCCCCAUGUACGAUCAGCCAUGGGCAAAUUUCACGGAUCGUUCGCACAUGCCCUUAUCCAUUCACGCAAGGACCUGCAACCAGAUAUCGACCCGCUACUGAAACCCAGACCAUAAAUCUGAUUGAAGCCCAAACCACUGCCGCACCUGAUCGAUUCUGAACCACGAAUCUGUUCUGAACCACCGCUACGAUAUUAGACCCGAUGAACCACAAAGAGCUGCCAUUUGAUUGUCGCGAUGACCUCUGCCGCAAUCUGUUUGAACCACCGCACCGCGCCCAGACCCCUGCAUCCACAAGCCCGACCUGCUUGCCUCGAGCAGAUGUAACCAAAAAAGCCGGUACCCUUACCAUAUUUGUACUGCACCUGCAUCCACUAGCACCGUCUAGCGCCUGUAUCAAGCCAAAUCCUCAUUUAUUUUCUAUUUUCGUGGUGAAAGGGGGCUUCAAGCCCAGAUCCUAUUUCGUCAAUUUUAAAUGGAGUUGAAAUGAAAUUUUCAAAAUCUUUACAAUUUUUUAAAUUUGCAAAUCAAAGGAAUUCAUAAAAUGAACACAAUUUCAUCAAUUUGGAGCUUUUGAAGUUGUUAAGGGUUGAAGAGGAGGAGGAAAACGAGUUUGGAGAAAGAAAGGCGGCGAGGUUGCUCGAGAAGAUGUAGGGUGGGGUGGGGGGGGAGGUUGCGGGGGAGGUGGGGGGUGGGGCGGGAAGGGUGGGUUUGGGUUGCGGGGAAGGGGAAGGGGGGCGGUUGCGGGUGGUUUUUUUGGAUGGGAGGGUAGGUGAAGAGAGUCGAGGAGAGGAAGAAGGUAGGUGGGGAAGAUGGGUUUCAGUUUUUUUUUUAUUUUUUAAGUGUAAAUUAUUAUAUUUUAAAUGCAUAAAAAAUUAAUUUGUUUGUCAUGGCAUAAAUUUAGCAAUCAUGUCAGCAUAAAUGUAGAUCUCAUAUUUGUCACGUCAUCAUUUAAUUGUAUAUAUGAAAUUGAUAUAAAAUGAUAAGUAGAUGCAUGAAAUUAAAAUGUUUGUAAGAUAACAAUAUAUAUGAAAUUGAAAUAAAAUGAUAAGUAAAUGUAUGAAAUUAAAAUAUUUUAAAAAUAUUGUAAGAAGUUACAAUCGAUCUCAAACUUAAAGAGAUAAAAUGUAAUUUUUUUUUUUAAUGCAAUCUUGUUAAGGGUCACAGAAUGAGUUAAAUAUUCCCACGACUAUACGUAAGAAUCUCGGUCUGAUGGGAUGAAAAUAUGGCUCCCUUUGAAAGUAUUUUUUUUUUUUUUUUACAUUGCGUAGCAUGUUUGUCUUCCGCAAAACACUUCCAAGUAUCUUUUAAACCAAAAACAUUUUAAACUAUUUUUACUUAACAUUAUCAUGUCUCUGCAAUUGCUUUAGUUAUUUAAACAGCAUUUCGAAUUGGAAACAGGCUCUACAACAAGCUAGACAUAUGAAGUUCUGAGAAUAGUUGAUAAGCAAGUUGUCCAAACCAUAUUUAUGUAAUCUUUGGAGGGUUCAGUUUAAAGCAUUUUUCUGACAUCUAUCAUCUAAGUUCACCUCACCACUUAAAUUAAUUAUUUUUUAAUUUUUAAUUGAACGAAAAGUAAAAAAGGGGCAUAUUACAUGAAACGUAAUAAGAUUCCUAUCUAAUUUUUUUUCCAAGAACCAAAAAAAAAAUUACUUGUAUCGUUGAGCAUUGAUAGAGAUAUGCCGUCCAGUAAUCCAGAAAAUUAAUUUUAUGAUCAGCCAUGUAAGGAAAACGAUGAUGUGCAAUGCUUCUUGAGGAGUUUUGUUGCUUCUCAAUAAAAUCUAUUUAUUUGAAUUUCCUGCUUCUACUACUACCUAUUGCUUGAAGUUUGCAUAGAUUAUAGAAGCAUUUUUUAUUGUUCUAAUCAUACAUGUCGAUCAUUUCCAAUUAACUGGCGAUCUUGGUGGUGUUGUUUGGAGGAUGUCGCAAUCUUCUCUCCAUCCAGUUUGGGGGUUGUGUUUAGCCGAUCUCAGGCGUCUGUUGGGAACGAUGGUUUGAGAUGGUGGGUUGGUGGCGUUUUGGCAGUGGAGUAGCAAGUUGCUAGGAUUUGUUGCGGUUUUUUUGUGCUCAAACCUUUGUUUUGGGCCAUUUUUGCUUUUACUUUGAAGGUUGAGUUGAAUAUCAGAGUGCGCAACGAACAAGACUAACAAGAAUAAUAAGAAUAUUAUUAAACUAACUGAUAAUGCCGGAACGGCUACAAAACCCUAAGAGACUAAUAACUUGUUAUUUCUAUAGAGUUACAAAGUACCAUAUAUAUAGAAAAGUAAUCUAACCCUAAUAGACAAGAAAACGAAACCCUAAUUCUAACGGGCUAAGCCCAAAAUACCAAACAUUAAAAUAAAUCUAAAUAAUAAUAUUUUCCAAGACCCCCGUCAAACUCAUGGCGGUACACGACAUGAGUUUGCUAAAAUAGAUGUGGAUGCAAGACUUCAAAUUCCAGUGCUAAUGCCGAUGUCGAUGGCAAUGCUAAUGUCGAUGUCGAUGCCGAUUUCCAAUGCCAAAUUCCAAUACCAUGCCCAAUGCCAAGUUCCAAUACCAUACCCAAUGCAAGAAUACACGGGCAACAAAACCUCAAAACAACCAAAUUUUUUUUUCCUUCCUUCUCCCCCCCCCCCCUUUUUGUUUUCCUUCCUUCGUCCUUCCUUUUUUUUCUUAUGUGCGAACCAACCAGCAACAUCAGCCUUUCUUUUUUUUUUUUUUCACAGGUGUACGGUUGUGGACGGAUCCAGAUGCAAGGUGGGGCUGGGGAAUGCAGAAAUCCUAGUGCGAUGAAGCAUUUUCAAAUUUGGGUGUGAGACAAAUUCACCAAAUUCUUUUUUUUUUCAAAAACAGAAUUUUUUUUCCUUUCUUGAAGACUACCAAGGACAAACUGAAAACCAAACCAGAAAACGUAAAAAAUCUACGAAUGGAAACUGGAAAGAAAUAAAACUGAUACGAACAAACAGAAGUAGAUUAGAUCCCGAAGAAUCAAACAUGCUCUAAAACCAAGUUGAAUAUCAGAGUGCAACAAGACUAACAAGAAUAAUAGGAAUAUUAUUAAAUUAACUGAGAAUGCAGGAACGGCUACAAAACCUAAGAGACUACAUUGUGAAUAAUUUGUUAUUUCUAUAGUGUUACAAAAUACCAUAUAUAUAGAAAAGUAAUCUAACCCUAAUAGGCAAGGAAACGAAACCCUAAUACUAACGGGUUAAGCUCAAAAUAUCAAAUAUUAAAAUAAAUCUAAAUAAUAAUAUUUUCCAACCGGUUCAUAUUUGCGUUGUGUGCUUAUUGUAAUUGAAUUUCUUUCUUUGUAAUUUUGUUGUCUUGGUAAAAAUUUUACUCUAAAAAAAAUCGAGGCUUGAAAGCUCUUCCAAUAGAGCGCUACUAAAUGUCAAUAGACCAAAUGUUUGGCAAUCUUUUAUUUUCUUAUUUAAUUAGAACAUUAAUGAUGUCACCUAUUUGCACAUACAAUAAAAGCACACCACUUUGGAAUUAUUAAAUACGAGAUUUUUUUUUAGAACUGUUUCCAAGUUAUGCUCCUUGGAAGAGCAAGCCAUUGACGGUCACCCCGCCGUCGACGAUAAUAGUCUGCCCAGUAAUGUAAGAGGCUGCAGGUAGGCAUAGAAAUGCUACCAAGGAAGACACCUCCUCUGGCUCUCCAGGACGUCCUAAAGGGCACCGAGAGUUUAUCAUCUCCAAUUUCUUUUCAUUUCGGAGAAUCUGCAUGCAUAGAAGAGAUAAUGGAUGAAAAGAGAAUGGAUGUGUAGGACACAUAUAUUAGCGACCAUCUUAGUAAUUGGUCAAGCCCUUCGUAAACAAAUUAAUUAAGACUAGAAGUAUCAUCUAAACUUGCUGUAAACUUUUCACCCAGAAACUUGCUGUAAACAUGUCAGGUCUAAGAACCUAUACAUGAAUAAAAACAAAAGACAUAUGGACUUUUGGCAAAACCCAACUUUUUAUUCCAAUUUCGACUAUGGACUUUUAGCAGACUAAUAAAUGAAAUACGGAUUGGCCUGAAGUUAUGAGAUGAUUGUAAUAUGAUGUGUGAUAUUCACAUACUUUUUUUUACUUCUUACACAUCAUUUUAAUUUGCGACCGUCGAAUCGGAUAAAUUAAAAAAAGAUUAAAGAACAUAAAUCCAUAAGAGGUGUGUUGAUAGCACACCCCUUGUAAUAUAAGAAGUUCAAAGAAUUCACUCAUGUAUCUUAAAUGCGGUUUUGAUUUUCCUGCAGCAACAUCUGUUGUAUUUAAAAAAAGGAAAAUAAAAGGCAUGCACAAGAACGUGAUUAGAAUAAUCUUACAGGAUCAGUGAGGGGAGUCUUGAUGAACCAAGGUGCCACACUGUUGGUCCUUAUGUUAUCUCUCGCCCACUCACAUGCUAAGUUUUUUGCUAACUGAUUUAGUGCACCUGAGAUACAAUAAGAAAAGCCACACUUUGGUCUAACAUUUAAAAUCACACACCAAAAAUAUUGUAAUCAAAUUUUAGGUGCUUCUCAUCUCAACCUCUUUUGAAACUAGCCACUCCUCUUUUCUCCUCUUACCAAACCCUGAAUUUUCAAACUCCAUAGUUGCCGGCCUCUUGAUUCGACUGGAGGCCGAUGGCAAUCCCUCUCCCCAUUUUUCUAGCCUCUCUUCUUUAUCUUUUCAUAGAUUGUUGCUUAUUUAUUUACGUCUUAGUAUUUUUAUUAAUAAGUGUCUUUUUGGUGAGAUUUUUUGUGGGUAUUUCUUAAUGAGUGUUUUAAGUUGAUAUGGGUGCAGACCCUUUAAGGGAAGAGAUCCCUAUUUAAAAAAAAAAUGGGGCUCCCUCUUGACCAUUAUAUCUGACUUUAAUGAAAUUCUGUGGUUGAGAUUAAAUCACAGGCCACAGAAUUUCAUUAAAGUUAAAUCUAACGGUUAAGAGGGUGUCCCUAUUUUUUUUUUUGGAAAAUAGGGAUCCCUUCCCUUAAAGGCUUUCUAUAUAGGUGGGUAUCGGCUCAUUUUGUGUCUACUUUUUUGGAGUUGGUUUGCUGCAUGUCUUGCGCACAAAGUUCAUGUUGCGCACAAAAUUAGUUUUUAAUCUUAUAUAAAGUAUUAGUCUAAAAGUGAAUUUUUUAAGGAUUUGAAUGAAGUUUUUUUUUUUUAAAUUUUUUAAUUUACAAAUUAUAAACAAUAUAUGUUUAUUUUUUUUAUUUUUAUAAAGGUCAAAAUUAUAAAAGGAAAUUAACUAUAAGCACCUUUAGUGGCAGAAUAUAUAGAUCCAACAUCAAUUGAGACCACACCAGCAGUAGAGGACAAAAAAAUGAUGUUAGCAGCUCCUGAAGCUUUGAGAAGAGGAUGUGAAAGUUGGCACAAGUGGUAAACAGAUUCAAGAUUGGUACUCAUUACGAAUGAGUAGUCUUCAGCUGUGUACUCUAGCGUUGCUUUCAGUAUGCUAGUCCCCACAUUGUUUAUCUAUAACAAGAUAUUACUGGAAAGGUUUAGCAUAACAUAACGUUUUAGCUUGUAUGUAUUAUUGAAAAAAGCAUGAAAAUUACGUGUAUCAAUUGUAAAAAAUACAUACGUAAGUGUACAUCUUUGAGUUAAAAAAAAGUACAAUUUUACGAAUUAUUAAAACGUUUAUAGCAAACAGAAAUAUUUACGAGGAUGUUUAGUUUGUUAUGAAAACGUGAUGAUGAUUAAUGAUUCAUGCAUAUAUGUUAUUUCAAUUGAUCAGUCUACUACUUACAAGGAUGUUAAGUUUGCCUUCAAAAAGUGAUGAGACCUUAUUUAUAAGCUCCUCUCUUUGGGUUUUAGACACCACAUCACAGACUGAGCCAGUUACUUGGAAACCCUUCUUCUCCCACUGACUCAGGCAGUCAUUAAGGUCAGCUUCAUUUCGGGAACAAGUAUGCACAAUUGCACCCAGCCCUGCCAAUUCCUCCACUAUAGCAUACCUAAAUAAACACUUCACUAAUUUAGCAUAGAAUUGUAAAAAAUAAUUCAAACCCAUAAUUCUGAAACAGAAAAAAACAAGGGACAAUUGGACGGAUAAAGAGAAUAUUGUAUUGCGUGUUUAAGAAAAAUUGAAACUAAAAAAAAGAUUAACGUUCUUAAUUAUCCAACUUUAGAGAAGCUAACCCAAUUCCUUUGGUUCCACCAGUGACAAGAGCUGUCAUUCCACGAAGAGACCAUCUCCUCGCUCUGCUAUUCAUCUCUAUCUGCUCUCUAUUCUCCCUGUCUGCUCUCUGCAAAUACUUAGUGGUUUAUAUUUUAUAUUUCUAAUCGAUAAUGAUUAUAAGUCUUAUUUUGGUGGCCAGGGAAAAGUAAGCGUGCCAGCCGCCUACAAAUAGUUUCUCCUCAGCAACUUGCAACUUUUUCUUGUUUUUUUGGAAACUAGCAACUUGCAACUUUCAACUUUUUGUUUGCUUGUUUUGAUAUGGCAAAGUAUGCAAAUUGAUUGUUCUUCAAUUUGAAUUUGACUAAAUUAUAUUUCAUCCAAUCGUACAAUGUCAUUCAAUUACACACAACCUCCAAUCCAAUCGUUACAACCUCCAAUCCAAUCGUUACAAGUACAAUAAUUGAGGAUAAAUUUCAGAUUCAUAUUUCACACAACACGUUUGGAAUUCGAUUGCAUGCGUUGAUGAAUCACACAAUGGUGGCCAAAGAGAAGUUGAAAUGUCACCAAGUGCUUAUCUUUUAAAAGAUUAAUAAAAUACAACCUCUGAUUUGGUACUAAUGUCAUACAAUCGUUAGUCAAUCUGUCAAAUAAGUCAUUAGGUGAUGAUGUGACAAGUGCAGCUCACAUUUUGUUAACUUUUGAGUCCAAAUUUGUGCCCCAUGGUUAAAGCAAAUUAAAAGAAAAAAUAAUAAUUAUUAAUAAUGUAAAAAUUAGAAAUCAUUUUUUUUUUAAAGGAGUACACUAUUCAUUAAUAACUAGAACAACGUACAAAUAGGGAAAAUGUGCUAACAGAGGGCCUAUAUAAAAACCUUACCGGUAAGUAACCCAAAUAAUGUAAAAAGAGUAUGUCUCGCAUAAAAUAAUAAGGACUAAAUUCCAAACAACCAAAUGUUAACUGUGAACACCAUCCUCCAACAAGAGAUCAAAAAUUAAAUCAGGAGGUCCCUCAAACCACGAAACCGGAUGAUCCAAAGUUAAAUUGAAUCUAGCUAGUCGGUGAGCCACCGAGUUUGCAUUUCAUCGUACAAAGCCUGCUUUCCACGAUUUAAAGGACUGCAUAAUCCUCCUGGUGUCUUCCAAUAAUAACGCAAACGGUACAUGGUUAGCCAUUGCAUUGUUUUGGAUUGCAGCAACUACUAGCAGCGCAUCACCUUCCAAUAUAACCUGGUCAGCACGCCACUAAAGUGCAAAAACAGCAGCUUCCCGUGCUGCAGCAACUUCCGCCUGCAUCGAAUCUGGCCUUGAGCUUCAUUACAAACCUUAAUAGCAUGAAUCUGGCCUUGAGCUUCCCAAUCAUCCAACAAAGCCGAGAGGCCUUCUGCACAUAUUACAAACAAGAACGGAGACAAUGGAUCCCCUUGCCGAAUCCCUCGUUUUGGGUGUACGAAUCCCACAGGAUCCCCAUUAAACUUGAAAGAAUAAGUCACAGUAGUAACACACAUCAUAAUCCAAUUAAUCCAUUCCUCAGCAAACCCCAAAUGUCUCAUCAUUUGCUCAAGGGAAGACCAUUCAAUACGAUCAUAUGCUUUAUUGAUAUCUAGCUUCAAAGCCAUCACACCCUUCCAACCGCUAUUCUUUGUUUUCAUAGCAUGAACAAUUUCCGAAGCCACCAAACAAUUAUUGGAAAUUAACUGACCCGAGAUGAACCCACUUUGGGAAGGCGAAAUAAUGUCAGGUAACACCAACUUCAACCUGUUCAUGAGAACUUUGGAGCAUAUCUAUAUAUAACAUUACAUAAACUGAUUGAGCGAAGUUGAGACAUGAAAGUAGGGUCCAUUUUCUUAGGAAUAAGAGUAACGUGCGUAAAAUUAAUUUUGCUCAUCAUACUUCCUGAAGAAAGGAGAGAACGAACCCCCUCAUAGAUGUCAUGACCAACGAUAGGCCAAUGUUUUUGGUAGAAUCCCAGAGUCAUCCCAUCUGGUCCAGGCGCCUUAAUGGGGUGCAUUUGAAAAAGAGCAUUCUUGUUCUCGUCAUCAGAAAACGGUACCAAGAACCCUUGAUUCAUCUCAGCCAUCACCUUUGGAGAAACCGUGCGAAGAACAGCAGACGCAUCAACCUGACCCGUGGAAUCAAACAACUUCUGAAAAUAAUUAACUAUUACCGCAGCCAUGCCAUCCUUGCUUUCCUGCCACUGCCCAUCGUCAUCAAACAAACCAUACAAACCAUUACUUCGCAACCGCCUAGAAGCCUUUUGAUGAAAAAAUCUUGUGUUUUGCAAUAUCAUUUAAUAUUUUAUCUAAAAAUUAAAGAAAAAAAAGAAAGAAAAUUUGAAACGCAGAUCUUCAUCUUCCUGUCCACCCAAUGCAGGUGACGAUCCCCCUCCCUGCAAUCAUCAAACCAAAAAGCUCCGCCGAAAUCAAACAAUCACAAUCAUCAAACCACCACCACCGUCAGAUUCCCAUGUGACCAUGAUAAUUAAGCAGUGCGAUUAUUUCAUUUAGCUUUACAUUAUUACCUGUUUAAUCUUUUACAAACAUAUUAAUUUCUUAUCCUCUAAUUGGGCAAUUUACUGUUAAAAAGUUAUGUCCUUACUGGCUGUUUUAGCCAAGGUUCUAAAAAACGCUAGGCGCUAGUCGGGCGACGAGCCAGUGCCUAGGCGGCUUAGGUGGAUUUAGGUAAAUUUCUUAUAUAUCUUGUAGAUAAGUGCAUAUUGACACAUAAAAAAUUAUAUUUGUAUGAAAUUCAUGGAUAAGAUAAUAAAAGAAUGAUAAAAUAUAAAAAGAAUAUUUAGUUUUUAAAUAAUUAGUAUUUAAUUUUUAAAUAAUAAAUAUUUAAAAACCCCACCAAGUGGGUUUGGUAGUUCAUAAACAUUUAAAAAUCAAAUGGUCGUUCAUAAAAUCCACGUGUGAGAGGUUUGACACCUCCCUUCCACCUCCACUUUCUCACAUCAGGUAGGAUUCAAAAGGUGGAGCUAGUUAUGCCUUGGAAAGCGAUCUCACAUUAUUUUUUUUGGGUUUUCUUUUCCUCUUCUGCCUUGGAAAGAGGAAAGCCCCAUUAAUGUUUUGAAAUUUUUUACUUCUUCUCUUCUUCUCCUUCUCUGAUUACUCUAUUUUUCCAUUUCCUCUUCUUCUGUUGCUCUGUAAAUUUCCACAGUAGCCUUUCUCGCUUCUUCUCCGAGCUUCUUUCUGCUUCCAAGGCGCUCACUCUGUCUCUCUCUCUUCUAGCUGCCAAGUAACUUCCAGUUCUGCCCCCAUCAACUCUAUUAAUUCCACCAUGAAACUUUGCACAUUCUGCAACUCCAUCCAAAAUCCAUCUCUAAAGUUCCAAUCUUUUCUCUUAAUCUUCUCAGCUCCACCACUCAUUCUACCCCUCAGAACCCAACAAAUUACAUAUGGGUCCCUCCCAAAGUCCUCAAACAAGCUUCCUUUCCACCACAAUGUCACCCUCACAGUCACCGUCGCAGUCGGAACACCGCCGCAGAAUGUUUCGAUGGUCAUCGACCCCAGAAGCGAGCUUUCCUGGCUUCACAGCAACAAAACCCGGGACUAUAACAAGACAUUCGAUCCGACCCAAUCCACCUCCUACUCCCCCGUCCCAUGCUUCUCAUCCACUUGCACGAACCGGACAAACCUUGCCAAUUUAUGAAACGAUUUUGAGUUAAUCGCGGCGAAGCACCGCCGCCUAGCGCCCAGGCACCGCCUAGGCGGCCGCCUCAACCGUUUUUUAGAACACUGAUUUUAGCUCACUCCUCUUUUGUUUUGCAGGUUUACAAAUAGACAAUCAAAAUGGUAGAUGGAAUGAGAUUGAAUUAGUUUUGAGGCUAGAAGUUCAAUUAAUUUUUAUUUUGGACUCGUCGAGAAGUAUGAUUUUCGUUUUUGAAUCACUUGAUUUCGUUGAGUAUUAAAGAAGGUAUGAACGUUUAAAGUUUACCCAGUUUCCAGCGAGUUUUUCAGUUUUCCCUCGGACCAGUCAACUUUGAGACUAUUUUCCGGCCAUCUCUAGAAAUCAUUGGGCUUCCAAAUAGGUAUAAUUUUAUUCUACACUUUCUUAUCUUCAUUUUGAUAUAUUAUAGGUUGAAUUUGGCUAAGAAACGAUUGAGUUACGAAGUUUUCAAAAUUGCCCAAACUUCCGGCUAAAAGCUCUGGGACACUUAAUUGAGUUUUUAACGGAAUGAUCAAAAUGAUGGAUGGUGGACAAUCUCAGGGAUCACUUUUAUUGAUUUGGAAUGUUAUGAACCAAAGUGAUAAGUUAUACAAAUCACAGAGACCAUUUUAGCUAUUUAGCCAGUAGAAAAAUAAUUCAAAUCCAUAAUUCAUCCACGGACGUUUGCAACUUUUUGUUUGCUUGUUAUCAUGUCACAAACGACGCAAAAUGAUUGUCCUUGAAUUUGAAUUUGGGUAACCUUAAAUUUUCGUCCAAUUUCAAUAUUAUACCUCUCUCAAUUUUUAUAUACCAGCCGUCAAAUUUGAUUAAGUGAUAAAAUGAAAAGUUUGGAACUUAUAUUUUACUGAUUUGGAGUCCAAAUUUAUGCCACAAGUUAGAACAAAUUAAAAAAAAAGUUUUAUUAUUAAUAAUGUAUAAAUUAGAAAAUCAUCUGCAAGAUCAUUUAAUAUUUUAUUUAAAAUUUAAAAAAAAACAAACGAAGGAUUUUUAUCACAAAUGGUCCAUGAAAUUGAUCCCUCAAUCAUGAUGGUCUCUAAAAUUGAAAAUCGAUCAAUGUAAUCACUGAAUAUUAGUCCCGCAAAUCAAUGUCUUUCUGUCACUGUUCCGUCCAAACUAGCGUUAAGAGAUUUUUUGGAAUUAGAUAAGAUAUAUAUUUUUUCCCUGAUCUCAAGCAUUGUCUCUUCUACUACAUAUGCAUACAUAUAGAACUAUUUCCAAGUCAUGCUCCUUGGAAGAGCAAGCCAUUGAUGGUCACCUCGCCGUCGACGAUAAUAGUCUGCCCAGUAAUGUAAGAGGAUGCAGGUAGGCAUAGAAAUGCUACCAAGGAGGACAACCUCUGGCUUUCCAGGACGUCCUAAAGGUCACCGAGAGUUUAUCAUCUCCAAUUUCUUUUCAUUUCCGAGAAACUGCGUUUAUAGAAGAGAGAAUUGAUGUGUAGGACACAUAUAUUACAAGCGCUUCAUUAACAUAAUAAAUAAGGCUAGAAGUAUGAUCUAAACUCGCUGUAAACUUUUCAUCAAAAAACUUGUUGUAAACAAGUCAGGUCUAAAAUUGAACCUAUACAUGAAUAAACAAAAGAUAUAUUGAACGCGAUUUAAGAUGUUUAGAAUAACGGUAGCCGGCUAUCUAGGCAGCUUUGGAGGUGGUUAGCAUGUCAAUUAUGUAUCUCUAUGUCUUUUUCAGAUUCUCUGGUUGCUUUUUGGGAUGCCUACGUAAGCCCUUUUCCUAACAACUGCACAAUCUAUGGAUUUUUUCGAAUCUUUAUACUAUUUUGACUAUUUGGAAAUCUCAAAAUAGGUUUAUUUUUUAGGGUCACCCAAUCUAUUUUCAUCGGCUUUGCAUGUCUAUCAAUUUUGGGAUCGUUCAUGGUUGGAAGUUUAUUCCUACUUAUUCUCAAGGCACUAGUCUAUCCUUGGCAAGGCUUCAACUAGUCAUCCUGUGCUUUGGUCUUUCCUUGGAUUAAACUUAAUACAGAUGGUUUGUCCAAAGGAAAUUCCAGUCCUACUCCUUGUGGAGGAGUUUUCAAAGAUUGCCAUUGCACAACCCGUCUCGAUUUAUUUUACGGGUUUUACGGAACGGAAGGUUAGUCUCAUAAUUUCACUUUGGUUUUAAAAAUGUGUUUGAAAAGGGUUUCUUUUGGACCUUAAAUGGUGUGCCCAAGGGGGCCCACCCCUAAUUUUCUGUCCCUGAUUCCCCUUUCCCCCGCCUGCCACGUGGCAAACCCCUACCCACUUCAUUUCUCAUUCUCUUCUCCCCGAGCACUCACUCUCUCAGCUCUAUAUCACUCUCUUUCACACACUCAACCUCUCUCCCUCAUCCCGAUUCACUCACACAUCCACACACCCAAAUCAAGGAAAGCAACGGCGACGGCGACACCAUCACAUCCACCGUGGUAGCACUCUCCCUCAUAUCUGUGAAGAAACCGGACACCUAGAGGGCACCCAAACCAAGACUUCGGCGAGCCCAGUGGGUUUCGAGCAAUGAAUCGGCCACCUUCGGCCAUUCCACGAUGAUUAGGAGGUAACCAAUCUUUCCUUUUUGUCUCUAUUUCAUUUUGGUACCUAGAUCGAGUCUUAGGUGUGAGCAGCGACGUCGACCGAAACUCAAGAGGCUCCGGCUUCCUUCCCCAGCGAGAAUAGGUAGCCAAGGCCCUUGGGUCGAGGAAACUAAGGCCUUUGGCCCGCUAAAGCUUUAGCCCAAGACCAAAGGGUUUCAGCCUGUGAGCUUUAGACCCAAACCCUUUUUAUUUAUAUUUAUUUUGUUUUCUUUUAAAAACCCAAAAACAAUCGGGCUAGGUUUCAAGCCCAACCCAGCCCAUUUAAAAACCCCUUAACCUUUUUAGACCCUUGCCUUAGGGCCGUUUGAGAUUAGGUCUUUGGGCCUUUGCAUCCGAGCCCAAACCCUUUGAAGCAAGCUUUCAGGCCAUGUAGAAGUUGGGCCUUUGGGGCCUGUGUAAAUCGAACCCAACCCAGAGAGAGACAGGCCUUUGGGCCAUCCAACUUGGGCCUCCAGCUCGGUAGUCUUAAUCCCAACUCGAACCCAUGAACCAUUGAUCGACUCGGACCCGUUAACCGUUGACUGGUUCGACCGUUAACUUAGUCAACAUUGAUCGUUGACUUUGACUUUGGUUUGUUGACUUUUUCUGGUUUUGUUCAGAAACCUUCUAGGCUAAUUUCGACGUCCUAGAACCGUUUUUUAUGUCCGUUUUCCCAAAUUCAAUUGUUUGAAUAUAGUUUUAUUAAUUGGACCAUUUAUGUGCUUAGGGGCAAUUAUUUGUGGUGUUUCCAUCUUAACUAGUUUGCGUGGCUCUUCGGCAGCGAGGUAUCUGUGAUUGGACCCUUUCUAAAAUGCAUGUUUUAAUAGUAGAAAUGCAUACAUGAAAAAUAUGAUUUAAUGAUUAAGUUUUAUGAAAUGUUUUAUGAGAUAUUAUCUUACUGAGAAUAUAUUGAAUUAUCAUAUUUUAUCGAACUAAUGUUCUUUGUAGUAUAUAUGAUGGAUGACUAUAUACUGCUUACGAACAUGCUUUUACACACUUUUUUAUAGUAUAUAUGAUGGAUGACUAUAUGCUAUGAAGAUGAUUUUGAGAUAUAUGUAUUUAUAUUUUGGGAAAUACUAUACUCAAUGUUUUUGUGUGUAUCUAGUGGUCACUGUUCUACCUACGGGCAAUGAUACUUAUAUUGGCUUCGGCUGGGCGUAAGUUGGUGCCUGUUUGGCAAAUGUAGUGUUCUGAAGGAAAUGUUCUAAAUGAGGAGUUCUCUAUGCCUUCGGGCGAUAUUGAUACCACUAGUUAGCACAUUAUAUACGUGAUAUUUAAGGUUUUAUGGCAUGCUAGGGUUUCAGAAACCUAUUACAUAUUAUAUUAUUGAAUUUCCAUAAACCUUUAGGGGUUAGUAUGUUGAUAAUUAUUUCAUUCUUAUAUGUAUAUCAACUUGGUCCGCUCUUGUUUGUUUUGCACCCCCUCAGGACUUAGAUUUGAGGUGUAAAAUCCCGGCAUCAAGGCACUUCCGCAUCGGCAUCUUCAAGUCUUCUUGGUGUAGGACCCAUUCCUUCAUUCAUUUAAUUUUAUAUUAUUUCGUUGGUUUUUACAUUAAAGUGACGUGAAUUAGAAAUCUCAUUAAGAGGAAGUCUGGUUAAGACCAGCUGAAGAUCCGAAAUGACGAUGCCACUUUGUAACAUGUGUUUCCCUAGGAAUUGGGAGCAGAGUCGGAUCUUCAUCGGAAUGUUGGGAAAUGAAAAAAUCUUAGUGGUACGAGUUGGUUAAGACCAACUGGAAAUCUAAGCGGUGUUGGACUCUGCGACAUGUGUACCCUAGGAAUGGCGGGCAGAGUCAUAUCCUUAUGGAAAUUACUUGAAAGUUCGUGUUAGAGAAAAUGAGUAAACGCUAGUUGUUACGAAGUUUAGUAAAUGGUAGUUUGGUGGGAUUGAAUCAAUGUUCUUGGACUCGUUUCCACUGAGAAAAUUCUUGUGGAUCUUUAGAACAAUUCUCGGUGAUUGUUCUAUCAAUAACUUUCUUGCUUACUCCAAUAGCGAAGUCAAGUCCCCUAACCUUUGACUGUCAACUUCACAUCAAAUUAUUCGAACGUUGUUUUUUACUAGAGUAUAGAAAUGUCAACUGCACUAUUGUGUACCACCUCGAUUGUGCAAGCGUAGUUGCUGAAUACCUCGGUAGAAAAAACACACAAAGCUCAAAGGGGAUAUAGGUUGAAUGUUUUGGCUUCCUAAUAAUGAGGCAUGGUAGAUCAGCAGAGUAAUGCAAUUGCAUAUUGCGAUGAUUAACCAAAUAAUCAUAAACAGUGACUUCUAUUUUUGCAUCUUCACUUUCCUUGGUUAUUUGUUCCUCAAUGUAAAACUAGAUCAUACUGUCGUACUGAUGUUUUUUACUACCCUUCCCGCCAAGCCCAUUCUGAUCAUGUAAACCUAAUCGAACAAUUAUCUAGUAAGACCGUAUUGGAUUAGAAAACCUGAAAAGCCAAAUCUACUAAAAUCAUAUAAAUUUGUCAGGAGGUUCAAAACAUCAAAUUAUUUCACGAGUUGCUGGACGAAGUUGAUUGACAAGUUAUAUUAAUAGGUGUGUUUUUGUGGAUGCGUACGCCCAGUUUCAUAUCGAUUCAGACAGGAAUGUUAGGAGUGUAACCUUUUCACAAGCUUACCAGAAUUACCGGAAAGACUUCCAUGUAGAUGUGAGCUUUGAGUCGUCUUUUAGUAAGAGAAUGAUGAAGAUUAUAGCGCAGGUGGUCAGCGAAUUGCAUCAUCAAUCAUUAUCUUCACGCAUAAAUGAAUAGUCACCACUCAUUAUUUUGCUGCAAUUCAUGAACAUCAUAUCGUACUUUAGUAGUUCUUUCCCAAUGAUAUGAUGCCUAUGAAUUGUAGCAAGAUAAGGAGAUGUGUGCGCUUCAACGCAUCUUUCCAAUGUUUCACUCCAAGACCUUAUUGUUCUUGAGUACGUGGAUGUCAAAACACUUUUAGUAGAUUUGAUUGGUGCGCUCUGGAAUGGUACCACAUCACGGUCAAGGCGAGAAUCAAAUGAUCUUUUCACACUCUCAUGUUGCUGAGCAAAAUGGUAUUUUGGCACUUUUGGCGACAUGGUACGAGAACUUUUACAGGCAACACCUGUUGACAAAGGGAUUUUUGCGAACUUGUAUCUGGAGGAUCGAAUUUAUGAUGUGAGAAAUUAUGCACCCUUAAGAAAUCACUGCUUGCUUACUGAGACAAUAAUGGGUGGUUGAUAUCGUGGGGAGCUGACUGUGAUAUCGAUAGCUUAUUCGUUGGAUCCGUUAAGCAUGUGGGCAGGUAGACCCAUCUACGGUAGAUAUUACUGAGUAGUCAUCGUUGGGGCUCGACCCAAAGACAAUUUUUCUCGUGGUACAUGACGUUACAUAUACGUGGGUGAAACCCACUUUCAUUUUCGGUUUUGGUUUUUAGUACAAGUAUUUUAACUUACAUAUUAUAGUUGUACGUGUUUUCUGAAGUUAAACAAAAAUUGGUCGAGUUAUUUCCACUUUCACUGUUGAGUUCAAUACGAAUUAUUCGACCUCUAUGUUAUUACUUAUCUAUUUUGACGUUAUCAUAUUUUGCAUACUUAUUUUUGAUGUUUUCGACUUUAUAUCUUUAUAAAGUAUGUUUUCUACUUUUACACUGAUGGGGAAAGAAAGUAUGAGCCUGGAGGCACGAAAGAUGGAAUCAUUGCAACCUGAUCACGAUGGUGUGGCAUUUUCCCUUUUCUACAACUGCUCUGACUUGAUUUCUUCUAUACAUAUAUAUUUUCUUCUCCCUAUUUUCAAGUUUUUUAGUGUAGCAAGUUAUUUUAAAUUUCGUGACAAAAUUUUAUUUAAUGGGGGUAGAUUAUGACAACCCGUCUCAAUUUAUUUUGUGAGUUUUACGGAACGGAAGGUUAGUCUCGUAAUUUCACUUUGGUUUUAAAAAUGUGUUUGAAAGAGGUUUGUUUUGGACCUUAAAUGGUGUGACCAAUGGGGACCACCCUUAAUUUUCUGUCCCCGGUUCCCUUCUUCCCCACUUGCCACUUGGCAGAUCCCUACCCAUUUCCUUUAUCUUCUCCUCGAGCACUCACUCUCUCAGCUCUCUAUCACUCUCUCUCACACACUCACCCUCUAUCCCUCAGACUAUUUCCCUCACCCUAAUUCACUCACACAUCAACACACCCAAAUCAAGGAAAGCAACGACGACGGCGACACCACCACAUCUACCAUGGUAGCAUUAUCCCUCUCCCUCGUCUCUGUGAAGAAACGGGACACCUAGAGGGCACCCAAACCCAGACUCCAGCGAACCCAAUUGUUUUGAGCAAGGAAUUGGCCACCUCCGACUAUUCCACGAUGAUUAAGAGGUAACAAUUUUUUCCCUUUCGUCUCUAUUUCAUUUUGGUACCUAGAUCGAGUCUUAGGUGUAAGCAACAAUGUCGACCGAAGCUUGGGAAGCUCCGGCCUCCUUCCCUAGCAAGAACAGGUAGCCAAGGCCCUUGGGCCGAGGAAUCUAAGGCCUUUGGCUUGCUAAACCCUUAGCCCAUGACCAAAGGGUUUCGGCUCGUGAGCUUUAAACCUAAACCCUUUUUAUUUUUAUUUAUUUUGUUUUCUUUUAAAAAUCCAAAAACAAUCGGGUCAUGCUUCAAGCCCAGCCCAAUUGAAAACCCUUUAAUCCUUUCGAACCUAGGCCUUAGGGUCGUGUGGGAUUUGGACUUUGAGCCUUUGCAUCAGAGCCCAAACCCUUGUAGCCCCAAACCCUUUAAAGCAGGCUUUUGGGUCGUGUGGAAGUUGGGCCUUUAGGGCACGUGUAAAUCAAACCCAACCCAAAGAGAGGCAGGCCCUUGGGCCUCCGACCCGGUAGCCUGAAGCCCAACCCGGUUCGACCCGAAAUCGUUGACAGACCCGGACCCGUUGACUGUUGACUUUGACUUUGACCGGUCAAAGUGGACUUUUUGUUGACUUUUUCGGGUUUUGUUUAGGAACCCUCCUAGGUUAAUUUCGACAUCCUGGAUCCAUUUUUGACAUUUGUUUUCCCAAAUUCAAUCGUUUGAAUAGAGUUUUAUUAAUUGGACCCUUUAUGUGCUUAGGGGUAAUUAUUUGUGGUGUUUUUGUCUUCUUUAGUUUGCGUGGCUUUUCGACGGUGAAGUAUCUGUGAGUGGACCCCUUUUUAAAAUGAAUGUUUUAAUAGUAGAAAUGCACACAUGACAAGCAUGAUUUAAUGAUUCAUUUUAUGAAACGUUUUAUGAGAUAUUAUGCUUACUAAGAAUAUUUUGAAUUAUCAUAUUUUAUCGAACUGAUGUUCUUUGUAGUAUAUAUGAUGGAUGACUGUAUACUGCUUACGAACAUGCUUUUACACACUUCUUUAUAGUAUAUAUGAUGGAUGACUAUAUGCUAUGAAGAUGAUUUUGAGAUAUAUGUACUUAUAUUUGGGGAAAGACUAUAUUCAAUGUUUUUGUGCGUAUCUAGUGGUCACUGUUUUGCCUACGCUCAUCUUUCUCCUUUUACCAUACUUUAAACAUACAAACUCCAUAGUCGCUGCCCUUCCUCCUACUGGAGGCCGGUGGCAAUCCCUCUCCCCAUUUUGCUAGCCUCCCUCUUUUAUCUUCUCAUAGAUUGUGACUUAUCUAUUUUUUGUCUAAGUAUUUUUGUCAAUAAAUAUCUCCUUGUUGAGAUUUUUUCAGUCCUUCUUCAUGAUUAUUUUAAUUUUGUGUUCGUAUGUUAUUGGCUUCUUCUGUGCAACUUUGUUGAAAUUGGUUCAUUGAUUGUGUUGCACACAAAAUUAGCUUUUAAUCUGCUAUAAGGUGUUCGUCUAAAAGUGAUAUUUUUUUUUUUUAAAGAUUUGAAUGAAUUUUUAACUAAUUAUAAACAAUAUAUGAUACUUUUCAAAAUUUUAAUAGAAGUCGAAAUCUAUAUAAGGAAAUUAACUAUAAGCACCGUCUUAUUUGGCAGCUCGGACUGUACUGACUAUUUCUAUUAGAUAUGAUAAAUAGCCACCAGAUAGUACUGAGUAAAUUAGUCGAGUGUUUGGUGUAGUAUCAGACUAAUAACCGUAUUAUUUAUACUGUGUUUGAUUUUAUACCGGAUAGGAGGAAUCAAACUUAAAAAAAAAAAAAUUAAACUUAAAAAACAAAACAGAAACCAUCACUUUUGUUCCCAGAUCUCUCCGCCGCACCCCUCAAACUCCCUCAAUCUCUCUCCCUUCUUCUUCUUCCCCGACUACAGAAGAAUCCCAAAUAAUUGUUCCCCAAAUCUCUUUGUCGCACCCCCCCCAAACUCCCUCCCUCUCUCUCCUUUCUUCUUCCCCGAUUGCAGAAGAAUCCCAAAUAAAUUCAAACAGCCAGUUGCGGAAGAAUCCCAAAUUGAAAUCAUCUCUCCGCCGCACCAUGUUUCUUUGCAAGACCCAGUUGCAGGGGAGAACAACGAGUAGGCAAUGAGGAAGGCCACAAGGAGACGAGGACUAGGAGAGCAAAGAUGGCGAGAGAAAGUGACGGCGACAGAAAACAACGGUGAGAGAAAGCGACGGGGAGGACGGCGAUGGUGAAAGAAGGUGACGGGGAGGACGAUGACGCCGAGAGAAGGAGAGAGAGAGAGAAGGCCAACUAAUAAUCCGAGCAUUUUGGUUGGUUUUAUUAAUCCGACGUAUACUGUGUUAAAUAAACAGACCAGUUAAAUUAAUCUGGCGCUUAUUUAGUACGAGUGAACGCCAAACACCCACGUCUGUAUAACUAGUCCUAUUCGAUCCUUUAUCCGAUCUGCCAAACAGGGCCUUAGUGGCAGAAUAUAUAGAUGCAACAUCUAUUGAGACCACACCAGCAGUAGGGGACAAAAAAAAAACAAUGUUAGCAGCUCGUGCAGCUUUGAGAAGAGGAUGAAAGUUGGCACAAGAGGUAAGCAGAUUCAAGAUUGGUUAUGAAUGAGUAAUCCUCAGCAGUGUACUCUAGAGUUGCUUUCGGUAUGACAAUCCCCACGUUGUUUAUAUAUAACAAGACAUUAUUGAAAAGGUUUAGCAUAACAUAACGAUUUUACCUUAUAUGUAUUAUUGAAAAAUGCAAGAAAAUUAUGUGUAUUAAACAUAAAAAGUACAUACAUACGUGUAGAUCUUUGAGUUUUAAAAAACAUACAAUUUUACGAAUUAAUGAAAUUUGAAACGUGUACAACAAACAAAUUUAUUUACGAGGGGAUGUUAAGUUUGUUAUGGAAGUGUGAUGAUGAUUCGUGAUUCAUGCACAUAUGUUAUUUUAACUAAUUAGUCUUCUACCUACAAGGAUGUUGAGUUUGCCAUCAGAAAGUGAUGAGACCUUGUUUAUAAGCUCCUCUCUUUGGGUUUUUGACUUGAAGACAGAUCCGGCCUCGGGAGUUGCGAUGGACCUUGUUUAUAAGCUCAUCUCUUGGCUGAAUGGAAGUAUUGACCAAGGCAACUGGGAGGUUUUCCAGACCAAGUGGGAGAUUUGUUGAGAAGGUGCGGAUUUCAGUUUGUGUGAAUGGUCUUGGGUACCGAGAUCAGCCAAUAGAGCGGCGGAUUUUGUGGUGUCGCAUGUUGGAGCGGAGAUAUGCGACUUAGUCUGGGUUCAACGACCCCCAUCUUCGUUUAUUCGGAAUCUGAACAAGGAUGGUCUACCCUGCCCUCCAACUUAGCUUUUGUUAGAUGUGAUUAAGGUGACAUUGGGGGGGGGGGGGGGGUGCAUACGUGUCGUAGUUUUUCCCUUAGUCCCGUUUAUUUCUGAUGUUGUUUGCCCAAGGUGGCUUUCUGUACUCCUAUUUGGCUUUGGCCCUAGUGAAUGAUAUUUUCCGAUUAUUCAAAAAAAAAAAAAAAAACACACUAUGCAAAUUGAUUGUCCAAUUUGAAUUUGACUAAAUUAUAUUUCAUCCAUUUUCAACAUCGUACAAUGUCUUUCUAUUUCGUACAACUUCUUAUUCAAUCAUUACACGAUGGUCCAGUAGUUUAGGACGAAUUCUAAACUCGUAUUCGAUAAAACUCGUUCUGAAUUUGAUUCAUAACACUGGUGAAUCAUACACUAUAAUUUUGGAGCUAGAAAACAAAUGGAAAGUAUUAGAGAGUGGGAGAGAACUUUGUGUUUACAGUACCACGUCCAGAAUGAGAUCGAUGUCAUUUUGGUUAAUUUUUUAGCAAAUACUACAUUUUCUUAAUGCAAUCUUGUUAAUGGUAACAUAAUGAGUUUAAUGCUCACAAGAUCUCAAAAAUUGCAUAGCAUGUUAUUCUUCCACAAACAGUUCAAGUACUUUUUAAACCAAACACAUUUUAAACUAUUUUUAAUUAACAUUGUCAUGUUUGCAAGCGCUUUAGUUAUUUAAAAGCAUUUUGAAUUGGAAACGGGCCCUACAACAAGCUAGACAUAUGAAGUUUUGAGAAUACUUGAUGAGCAAGUUGUCCAAACCACAUUUAUGUAAUCUUUGGAGGGUUCAGUUGAUGGUGCUUAAAGCGUUUUUCUGACAUCUCUCAUCUAAGUUCACCUCACAACUUAAAAUAAUUAUUUUUUAAUUUUUAAUUGCAUGAAAAGAAAAAAAAAGGGACAUAUUAUUACAUGAAACAUAAUAAGAUUCCUAUCUUAAUUUUUUUUCUAAGAACAAAAAAAAAACCUUGUAUCGUUGACCAUUGAUAGAGACAUGCCGUCCAGUAAUCCAGAAAAUUAAUUUUAUGGAAAACUAAUGAAAAUAGCUUGAAAACUUUGAGUUUUAAAGAUAAGGACAAAAUAAAGAAAAAAGUGAAUAGUACAAGGAUUGACUUUUUAAUGUAAAAAUAUGAUUUUUCGUUAAAGUGAAUAGUACCACUGGCUUUUCAUUAAAACUCCCUUAAUUUUAUGAUCGGCUUUGUAAGGAAAGCGAGGAUGUGCGAUGCUUCUUGAGGAGUUUUGUUGUUUGUCAAUAAAAUCUAUUUAUUUGAAUUUCCUGCUUCUAGUACUACCUACUGCUUGAAGUUUGAACAUAUUAUAGAAGCAUUUUUUAUUGUUCUAAUCGUACAUGUAGAUCAUUUCCAAUGAACUGGCAAUCUUGGUGUGUUGUUUGAAGGAUGUUGGAGUCUUCUCUUCAUCCCGUUUUGGGGUUGUCUUCGGCCGAUCUCAGGCAUCUAUUGAGGGCGAUGGUUUGAGAUGGUGGGUUGGUGGCGUUUUGGCAGUGGUGGAGUAGCAAGUUGCUAGGAUUUGUUGCGGUUUUUUCUUUUGUGGUGAGCUCAAACCUUUGUUUUGGGCCAUUUUUGCGUUACUCUGAAGGUCUACAUCCACGCUGUGUGCUUAAUGUAAUUGGAUCUCUUUCUUUGUAAUUUUGUUGUCUUGGCAAAAAUUUUACCCUAAAAAAAAUCUAGGCUUGAAAGCUCUUCCAAUAUAGCGAAACUAAACGUCAAUAGACCAAAUGUUUGACAAUCUUUUAUUUUCUGAUUUAAUUAGAACAUUAAUGAUGUCACCAGUUUUCACAUACAAUAAAAGCACACCACUUUGGAAUUACUAGAUACGAGAUUUUUUUUUUUAGAACUGUUUCCAAGUUAUGCUCCUUGGAAGAGCAAGCCAUUGACAGUCACCCCGCCGUCGACGAUAAUAGUUUGCCCAGUAAUGUAAGAGGCUGCAGGUAGGCAUAGAAAUGCUACCACGGAAGACACCUCCUCUGGCUCUCCAGGACGUCCUAAGGGGCACCGAGAGUUUAUCAUCUCCAAUUUCUUUUCAUCUCGGAGAAACUGCGUGCAUAGAAGAGAUAAUGGAUGAAACGAGAAUGAAUGUGUAGGACACAUAUAUUACCGAUGAUCUUAAUAAUUGGUCAAGCUCUUCGUAAACAAAUUAAUUAAGACUAGAAGUAUGAUGUAAACUUGCUGUCAACUUUUCACCAAAAAUCUUGCUGUAAACAAGUCAGGUCUAAAAUUGAACCUAUACUUGAAUAAACAAAAGACAUGGACUUUUGGCAAACCCCAACUUUUUAUUCUAAUUUUGCCUAUGGACUUUUGGCAGUCUCAUCAAUGAAAUACUGAUUGGCUUAAAGUUAUGAGAUGAUUGUAAUACAAGUAGUUAAAAGAAUUCACUCAUAUAUCUUAAAUUCAAUUUCGAUUUUCCUUCCAGAACAUCGAUUGUAUUAGAAAAAAUGAAAAUAAACAGCAUGCACAAGAACGUGACCAGGAUAAUCUUACAGGUUCAACGAGGGGAGUCGUGAUGAACCAAGGUGCCACACUGUUGGUCCUUAUGUUAUCUUUCGCCCACUCACAUGCCAAGUUUUUUGCUAACUGAUUCAUUGCACCUGAUGAGAUACAAUAAGGAAAAGCCACACUUUUGUCAAACAUUAAAAAUCACACACCAAACAAUGUAAUCAAAUUUUAGGGGUUUCUCGUCUCAACCUCUUAUGGUUUAAAAAAAAUAAAAAAAAAUAAAAAAAAAACUAGCUGCUCCUCUUUCUCCUCUUACCAAACCCUAAAUCUUCAAACUUCAUAGUCGCCAGCCUCUUGCUCCGACUGGAGGCAGUGGCAAGCCCUCUGCUCAUUUUUCUAGCCUGUCUCCUUCAUCUUCUUAUCGAUUGUUGCUUAUUUAUUUUUCAUCUUAGCAUUUUUGUCGAUAAGUGUCUCCUUGGUGAGGUUUUUUGUGAGUAUUUCUUCGUGAGUGUAUUAAUUUUGUAUUGGUGUGUUAUCGGCUCCUUUUGUGUCUACUUUGUUAACACGAAAUUCAUGUUGUGCACAAAAUUAGCUUUUAAUCUUAUAUAAGGUAUUAGUCUAAAAGUGAUAAGGAUUUGAAUGAAGUUUUUUUUUACAAAUAAUAAACAAAAUAUGUUUUAUUUUAUUUUAUUUUAUUUUAUAAAGGUCAAAAUUACAUAGGGAAAUUAACUAAGCACCUUUAGUGGCAGAAUAUAUAGAUCCAACACCUGCUGAGACCACACCAGCAAUAGAGGACAAAAAAACGAUGUUAGCAACUCCUGAAGCUUUGAGAAGUGGAUGUGUAAGUUGGCACAAGUUGUAAGCAGAUUCAAGAUUGGUCUCAUUAUGAAUGAGUAAUCUUCAGCUGUGUACUCCAGCGUUGCUUUCGGUACGACAGUCCCCACAUUGUUUAUCUAUAACAAGACAUUAUUGGAAAGGUUUAGCAUAAUAUAACAAUUUUAGCUUAUAUGUAUUAUUAAAAAAUGCACGAAACGUGUACAUCUUUGAGUUUUAACAAACCUACAAUUUUACGAAUUAUUGAAACGUCUACAACAAAAAGAAAUAUUUACGAGGAUCUUAAGUUUGCCAUGAAAGAGUAAUGAUGAUUAAUGAUUCAUGCAUAUGUGUUAUUUCAAUUGAUCAGUCAUUUACUUACAAAAAUGUUAAGUUUGCCAUCAAAGAGUGAUGAGACCUUGUUUAUAAGCUCCUCUCUUUGGGUUUUAGACACCACAUCACAGACUGAGCCAGUGACUUGAAAACCCUUCUUCUCCCACUGACUCAGGCAGUCAUUAAGGUCAACUUCAUUUCGGGAACAAGUAUGCACAAUCGCACCCAGCCCUGCCAAUUCCUCCACUAUCGCAUACCUAAAUAAAUACUAAACUAAUUUAACAAACAGCAGUAAAAAAAUAAUUCAAACCCAUAAUUCUAAAAGAGAAGAAAACAUGGGAUAAGUGGAGAAAUAAAAUGAAUAUUGCAUUGCAUGUAUAGGAAAAUUGAAACUAAAAGAAGAUUAAUGUUCUUGAG